RNAcentral lists this unclassified non-coding RNA (329 nucleotides) under soil metagenome. RNAcentral's name for it is "partial contains 5.8S ribosomal RNA, internal transcribed spacer 2, and large subunit ribosomal RNA". The stretch from base 1 to 120 matches the Rfam family "5.8S ribosomal RNA", at positions 35 to 154 of the family's 154-position model. The record is from RNAcentral.
GAUGAAGAACGUAGUGAAAUGCGAUAAGUAGUGUGAAUUGCAGAAUUCAGUGAGUCAUCGAAUCUUUGAACGCACAUUGCGCCCCUUGGUAUCCCGAGGGGCAUGCCUGUUCGAGCGUCAUUUCACCACUCAAGCCUGGCUUGGUGUUGGGCGACGUCCCCUUUGGGGACGCGCCUCGAAACGCUCGGCGGCGUGGCACCGGCUUUAAGCGUAGCAGAAUCUUUCGCUUUGGAAGUCGGGGCCCCGUCUGCCGGAAGACCUACUCGCAAGGUUGACCUCGGAUCAGGCAGGGAUACCCGCUGAACUUAAGCAUAUCAAUAAGCGGAGGA